Molecule: long non-coding RNA, 1618 nt
Organism: Gasterosteus aculeatus aculeatus (three-spined stickleback)
Lineage: Eukaryota; Metazoa; Chordata; Actinopteri; Perciformes; Gasterosteidae
Source: RefSeq, a predicted model, not a curated record
CUACAUCCAAGGCUGCAAGCGUAGAAAACAGAGACGGCGGGUUGAGAGCCGAGAAGCCGAGUCUCCGAGAGGAGAGAGGCACACUGCCUGGGACCAAUCGCGCCGUGUUAUCUGAUGCCUGCGCAUGUGCGUGUGUCUUGUCUGUCUGGAUCUUGGUUUUUUUCUGGAUCACCAAGGUCUUACAGUGGGAAGUGGGGGCCCGGAACCAAAGCCCAGUUGACCGCUGUUAUCAGUGCCACCCACAUAUUCCAGCGCGAUGGGGACGCUACCUGGAGCCUUUCUGCAGAGCUGCGAUGGCGAUCAGUCUGCACGCAGCCCGAGCGCCGAACUGCAAGAACGCCGCCUGGAAAGACGUCAAAGUGGGACGGGAACCGGCUGGAUAGCAAUCUAUCACAGAUCAGCGGCAAUGAGACGACGGCGCGACGCACCGCGUGCCCUCCAGCGCGGUCUUGUUGAAGGCUGAGCCCUUAAGGAAGAGACCCAGGUGGCAAUCCAGUCAAGGACCAGGGUGGAUCUUCUCACGAGCAGGACCCUCCAAUCACGGAGAGAGCUUCUGCCGGGCCACCUAAUCUCACGCGGGGCUGGAGUGACCUUCUGACGGCCAAGGCUGUGGGCAGGGGGGAACCGACAGCUGGAUGUCUGCCUCCUCCGCAAGUCCUCACUUCACGCAGUAGACGGGUUACCAACAGCUGGAUAAAUGGACUUGAAGGGAUGGAUUUCACAGAAGGCUUUACUGGACUAUUGGAUCUAGAUCUAUUACAGUUACGCUGCGAGUGGUCAUUUACAGAGCAAAUUAUUCUACACAUCUGUUUAGAAUGAAUGUGAUUAAACAUAAAUAUGCCACUUUUUAAUAAUUUCAUUUUAGAUUCAGCACAGAGCCAAAAGAACAAAUACUUUUUAGAAGUCAGGUGACCACAUUUCUUCCAUUUGCCUCAUCCCUCUGGCUUCAAAUCACAAAAAUGAAAACUUUGUUAAAGACAAACCUAUUUCACUUUGGACAAGAUGAACAAAAACAUACAGAAAGCUGUUUAUAUCUGACCAGGCUUCUGCAACAGCCCCCAGGGUUGUGGCAGCUUCCAAACGCUUCCAAUGUCAAAACUAAUAAAGCGUUAUUUCCUAUAAAAGGCCAUGUGAUUGAUCUUAUCAAACCAAAAUUGUAGUUUUGUAUGAAUAUCGGUCUCUGUCUAUUUAUGAUGCACAUUGACACAAGUACAAAUGUAGCUGCUGUAGAAGAAGCACAACCUGAUCUGGCAGGACGCACUAGUCAGACUUAGAGCUGAAUAAAUGUAUGGAAAAUUGACAUUGACACAUUUGUGUCUUUGCAAUAGGAAUUGCAUGGCUGCAAAUGUAUUUGGGGCCCCUUCCUGCAUAGGUAACUGUAUGUUUGUUAUAUGUUUGGUAACUUUUUAUUCUGUGUGAGAAACAGUCCAUUCCUAAUAACUGUGACUGCUUGUAUUCAUGCAAAUACAAAAAGAUAUCAACUAGAUCACACAGCUUGUCUGAAGGCCAAUUAAAAGUAAAAAAUAGUUCAAAUGUUGUAUCACAUAAGGCCUUAUUGCAAUGAUGUGUUUUGUUCCAUUGCAUUGUCAAUGAUGAAAAUAAAAUGUAAAGAUUGUAA